This 275-nucleotide ribosomal RNA is filed under the name uncultured prokaryote. RNAcentral's name for it is "partial 16S ribosomal RNA". It matches the Rfam family "Bacterial small subunit ribosomal RNA", at positions 524 to 798 of the family's 1533-position model. The record is from RNAcentral.
UACGUAGGUGGCGAGCGUUGUCCGGAAUUACUAGGCGUAAAGGGCAGGCAGGCGGAUCCAUAAGUUUAUCGUUUAAGGCGUCGGCUUAACCGGCGUAGGGCGGUAGAUACUGUGGAUCUGGAAAGCGGUUGGGGAAGACAGAAUUCCUGGUGUAGCGGUGGAAUGCGCAGAGAUCAGGAGGAAUACCGAAGGCGAAGGCAGUCUUCCAAGCCGUUAUUGACGCUCAACUGCGAAGGUGUGGGUAUCAAACAGGAUUAGAUACCCUGGUAGUCCCU